UACGUAGGGGCUAGCGUUAUCCGGAUUUACUGGGCGUAAAGGGUGCGUAGGUGGUUUCUUAAGUCAGAGGUGAAAGGCUACGGCUCAACCGUAGUAAGCCUUUGAAACUGGGGAACUUGAGUGCAGGAGAGGAGAGUGGAAUUCCUAGUGUAGCGGUGAAAUGCGUAGAUAUUAUGAGGAACACCAGUUGCGAAGGCGGCUCUCUGGACUGUAACUGACACUGAGGCACGAAAGCGUGGGGAGCAAACAGGAUUAGAUACCCUGGUAGUCCCUGA
This 275-nucleotide ribosomal RNA is filed under the name uncultured prokaryote. Its description in RNAcentral is "partial 16S ribosomal RNA". It matches the Rfam family "Bacterial small subunit ribosomal RNA", at positions 524 to 800 of the family's 1533-position model. The record is from RNAcentral.